Phyllostomus hastatus (greater spear-nosed bat) is the source of this 135-nucleotide small nucleolar RNA. RefSeq annotates it as small nucleolar RNA SNORA1. Lineage: Eukaryota; Metazoa; Chordata; Mammalia; Chiroptera; Phyllostomidae. The record is from RefSeq and is a predicted model, not a curated record. The transcript has a single exon.
AGCCUCCUUCCUGAAGGAGGCUGGGCACUGUCGGUCAGGGUGUCAGAAGGUGUUAAUGGCACUAAACCGAGACACGGGCUCUGCUUCUAGCUCAGUAAAUUUGCUGCAGUGUUGACGAUGAGACCUGUAGCACUC